UUUAAUGCACGGAAGCACAAACUCCAAGAACUUUGAGUAUUUGUCGUAGUAAUCAAACACUGCAAAGCCUUGAAUGCGGAUUCGUUUGUAGAUUAUGUUGGAUAGGUUGUGUACACCUUCUUGGUUUUCAAGAUUGUACUGUGAGAUCAUUCCACACACAGCGAUACGUCCGUGUGGGUUCAUGUUUAAGAGCACUGCGUCUAGCAUUUUGCCUCCUACGUUCUCAAAGUAUAUGUCUAUGCCUUUGGGGAAACACCUGGAAAAAGAAGAAGAAGAGAAUCUCUCUUAGAUUAGUAACAGAGCAGUCGAUAAGAUAUCAAUCAAGAUAAAACCGUUUUUUUUUAAUUCACAAAAAUGUUCUAAUUACGGAUUACGGAGUUUCAUUGUAUUUUUCUCCAUUCUUAAGUGGUUUUCCACUUAGAACCAUGCUUUUAUCCAUUUCUCUCGUUUCUACUUUAGUUGUGAAUUGCCGCGUUAUUCUGCACACUAAUCCUCACACUUAUAGACAUCAAACAGUUCAAAAUAAGUGGUAACCGAACCUUUUCAGGGCAGCACUAAGGUCUGGUUCUUCCUUGUAGUUAAAUGCAUCAUCAAACCCAAACUUGGUCUUGAGGAGAUCAACCUAACAAAUCCCCAAAAAAGAAGUAAAAGGGCUAAUCAAUCUCUUGAAGGAUAACCAAGAAGCAUAAGGAAACAAAUAUGGAAGUGAUGAUCAAAUUCUCACCUUUUCUUUGCUACCGGCGCUUCCAACAACAUAACAGCCCAUCAUCUUAGCAAGUUGUCCCACAAGCUGACCAACCGCACCAGAUGCAGCAGACACAUAAACCGUCUCUCCUUUCUUUGGGGAACAAACUUCAUAAAACCCAGCAUAGGCAGUCAUACCAGGCAUACCUGUCAGGAACAGAGAAAACUCAUGAGGAGAGAAUACAUUAAACAGACUUGACUCCUUGUAAAUUGAAGUUUAGAACUCAACAUAAGUGAGUUUCUAAUCAACAAAACUAUUAUACAGGGUUAUGACAUUUCAACUUCAUGAUCCCUGCUGUAUUCUGAAGUUUCACCAAGUGAUUCCCGUUACAAAACCAGAACAAGGCCGAGAUUAACAUACCGAGAAGUCCAGUAUAGUAGGAUAAUGGAACAUCGGUAUGCUGGAUCUUGAAAUGAACUUGAGGUGUUGGAGUGAUAACACUGUACUCCUCCCAUCCAACUAUCCCCCAGAGUAAAUCACCUUUUUGGUAAUCUGGAUGUCCGGAUUCUAUCACUCUAGACACUCCAUACCCAGAAAUUGGCUGCACCAAAAACAAAAUGGAACAACAGUCACCACCAGAGAGAGAGAGAGAGAGAGCAAAACCCCAAGAAACACAUUUUCCUCUCAGAGUCUUCAAGAACACUAAUCUAAAGUUAUCAUAUCAUUGUCAUCUAGUUCAUAUAAAUAAGAAGCAUCCAGAUUAAUUUCUGGGGGUAUAAAAACACUAUCACUUACAGAAAUAAGUCAUCAUUCUGGUCACAAAGUAUAGUUUAUUAUAUCCAAAAGUAUAAUCACAUAAUAAUAAUCUAAACAAAAAAACGAGCUCGAACCAAACCAAAACAAAACAAACAUUAUCAUCCGAUUCGAAUUUCACCGGAGAGAUUUUCCUUAUUGGAGAAUAAAGUAGAUCAUCGUCGAUGGUACCUGGCCGGGAGUGUAAGCUUGAGCAAGAGCAGUGGAUGGUUUAGGUUUGCUCAUGCGAGUCCGCAUGUAAGGAUCGCAUGACAGGUAGAGAUUUUUCACCAGAACCGAGUUAGAACCUUCCGGAACCUUAAGUUCGACGGUGGUGGUUGUGAAAUCGAAAUCGGAUUCCUUAGGGAAACCACUCACGUAGUCUUUCAAUGUCACCUGCUUGUUCGUCGCCGUCGUCGUCAUCGUUAAUUCUUUUCCGAUUCAAUUUCUGAUUUCACCAAUUUUUGUUACUUGGGAUUCUAGUGGACGCGCCUGCUUUUUAUAGUGGCCUAUCUCUCUCGUAAUAUCAAAGUGUGACGUCACUGCUUAUGAUUGAUCCCAAUGUUCACAAUUUUGAUCUCUCUUAGCUUGGACAAAUAAACCGAACCGAAUGUAUUGAACUGAAACCAAAACAAAAAAAUUGAACCGAAUUGAACCGAAAAUUUGAAAAUAAUCUAAUGGAUACUAAAUUCUAUAACCAAAAUAACCGUAACCGAAUCGAUAUCGAACCGAAAUAUUUCGGAUAAAAUAAAUACAAUUAUAUUUUCAAAAUAAUUAAUUAUUUAUAGACCAAAUAAUCAAAAAUACUUGAAAAAUAUAUAAAAAUACUCAAAAAUAAACGAAAUAUAUCCAAAAAUAUCUGAAAAUACUCAAAAAUAACCGAAAUAUCCAAAAAUAUCCUAAACAAAAUAACCGAAUGGAUACUAAAUUUUAAAACCAAAAGAACCGCAACCGAACCGAACCGAAAUUUCAAAAUAUCCAAAUGGAUACUAAAUUUUGAAACCGAAAGAACCGAAAUCGAAUGGACCCAACCAAUAACCGAACGGUUAACCGAAAUCCCAGGCCUAAUUUUUCUCUUUCGACCGUAUUUUUUUGUCGACACUUUCACAUUUUGUUAUUAUUACAUUUCCUUUCACAUUUAUUUUUCUUUCCAAUUCUGUAUUGUUGUCACAUUUUCAGUGAUUUCACAAGAGUUAAGUGUUUAUACAUUACAAAUGUCCGAAACUUUAUUUUAUUAAUAUGAAUUAAAUUUUGAGGAUCAAAAUUAAAAGUAUAGCUGACAAAAGAAGCAAAACAGUGGUGAAUUACUACAUUGAUUGAGAACCUUCGGAGCAUCGUUGAUUUGGGACAUGCAGCAAGAACAGACGAGAACCUUCGGAUAAUCAUUAUACAAAAUUAUACUUUUUUCUUCUUUUUUUGGUAAACUACAAAAUUGUACUUCGGAGUAUUUUUUUAUGUUUUUUUCCUUUUUUCUAACUUAAAUAGUGUGUAGAUAAUUAUUACAAAUGAUUUUUUAAGACAUGAAUUUUGGUACAUGUGUGUUUGCUCGAGCAUUAGAGCUUCUCAUGUGACAUUGCUUCAAAUAACCUGCUGGUGUGUGAAGAUUCAUUUCCCAUUUUGUGCGGCACAUUUACGAUUCACUAACAUUUGUAAGACACACGAUUCACUAACAUUUGUAAGACACACGACUUUGUGGUUUUAAGCAAAGAAAAAACAUAAAUUUUAGAGACAUUUGGCUUCAAUUCCCUCAAGAGUGAGACCCUUUGUCUCCUGAAACAGUGAAGAAUAUGAAGACCAGAGACAAAACACAUAUCAAACCAAACCCAAAAAACAGUAUACCAACUCCCAAUAGUUCCCGCAAAACAGAGCCAUGUGAUUGUGAUUGUGAUUAUGUCCCCUAAUAAUGAAGAAAGGGGUUGCACAAAUAGCAACAGUAACAAUAUUCACUGAUGUUUAAACACGCAUACUUGGUAUUUGGUAACAUAACCUAAUUACAUUUUUGAAUUUGUGAGAGGGGUUUGGGAUUGUUUGUUACUACUUUGAUACAUUUCAAUUUGAUGAACAAGUCACACAGAAUAUGAUUCGAAACCAUAACUAACAAAUUGAUAUAUAUAUAUAUUAAAAAUUUACUUGAAUUACUAUUAUUUAAUAAACCAAAAACUCAGGCUUGGGUUCGAACACCCAUACAAAAUCUGUUGGAUAAAUAUAACAUUACUCCCAUAACAAAAAUAUAUUCACUCACGAGCAAUAACAACAACUUGUUUCCCAACGUUCUUACCAUGGAAGAGUCCCACAAGAGCUUCGGGAGCUUUCUCAAGCCCAUCAGCCACAUCUUCCACGUACGUGAUCUUCCCUUCUUUGAUGCACGGAAGCACAAACUCCAAGAACUUUGAGUAUUUGUCAUAGAAAUCAAGAACUACAAACCCUUGAAUGCGGAUUCGUUUGUAGAUUAUGUUGGAUAGGUUGUGUACACCUUCUUGGUUUUCAAGAUUGUACUGUGAGAUCAUUCCACAAACAGCUAUACGCCCGAGUGGGUUCAUGUUUAAGAGCACUGCGUCUAGCAUU
RNAcentral lists this long non-coding RNA (4042 nucleotides) under Arabidopsis lyrata. RNAcentral's name for it is "long non-coding RNA (ALYR_LNC001227)". The record is from RNAcentral. Lineage: Eukaryota; Viridiplantae; Streptophyta; Magnoliopsida; Brassicales; Brassicaceae.